This is a long non-coding RNA of Loxodonta africana (African savanna elephant), 4236 nucleotides long. RefSeq lists it as uncharacterized. The record is from RefSeq and is a predicted model, not a curated record. The transcript has 5 exons. Lineage: Eukaryota; Metazoa; Chordata; Mammalia; Proboscidea; Elephantidae.
CGGGGCAGGCGGGCUGGGUAGUCCCCAUGUAGGCGCCGUGUCUUCCUCUUACCUCAAAAGGUCUGAGGUUCCCACUGUCCCCCACCGGUUUCAUAUUUUGUCCCACUUUUCUCCCUCAUGCCACAACACAGCACACCCUUGCUGGAAACCCUUCAGGGGCUCCCAGCCCAGAAGCUACAGCCCAAACUCCUAGGCGUGGAGCCUGUGGCUCCUCGCCUUACCCCUCCUCCCCUUGCAUUUUGCAAGUUAGUCUACGGUAAUAUCUAACUACUUGUAUUUCUCCCUUUUUGCUGUUUACCGUUCCUCCCUGCCUUUACUCAAACUGCCCCCUCUGCCUGGGAUGCCCUUCCUACCCCAUUCUGGUAGAACUAACUGGUACCUAUCCUUGUGAGGGCUUGCUGGUUGUCGGGGCGGGGGGGGGGAUCCCUACCUCCCGCAGUUUUCCAUCCCUCCGCCUCCACCUCCACCUCACAGUCUGUUAUACACUAAACACAAUAUACAUCUGUUCAUUUAUUGCGACUGCGAUUUGAUCUUACUCAUCUUUGCAUUCCUGGUGUCUAGCAAUGAAACAGCAAGCCCCCACAAGGCCCUCCCUCCAGAGCCUCUGGGGACUUAAACCUGGCCCAGCCUGAUGUCACGCUGACCUGAUCUGCGCAAGAUGAACAAAGGUCAGAGAGAGACACCAGACCUCAGCAGAGACGAAAGCAGCAGCAGUUCCCUAACCCACUGCGCUCCCAGAAGCAAGCAUGUCAUCAGAGUCCAGGCUUCCUGCUGAAGCAACCUGUGAGCCAGCCCUGCGUCCUUCUGCAUCAGAACCUCUAACCACCAGUACCAAUCCUGUCUUCAGGUUGUAACAAGUGAUCUUGCUAAAGGAAAUGCAAUCUCAUCCUACCAAGACUGGUUGGGGGCCACUUUUGCCCCCACCUCCAGUAUGCUGUAUUUAUUGGAUGCUCUUUGUUGACACUGUGUCUGCCUUGUUGACUACUAUAUCACCAUUGCCAGGUCAUUAUGGUGCUCUCUGGGCUUCACCUUCCUUAUCAACAAGGGGACUGGAAUAGGGUUGCUCACCUCGCUGGGGUCAAGGGCCCUCCAAGAAGCCCUGUUCUUACUACUGCCUCAUCUCAUCAACACCUGGCCAACCCUGAUUUAAACCUGAGGCGUGUGACAGCAGCUCCUCUCCUGGCCCAGUGUCUGCUCUCUUCCUUCUAGCCUGGGCCCCACCAGCCCCCAGUCCCACUGGUUGACCCAGUAGGGAUUUGAUUUUUCCUGAACUUCAAACCCUGCAGCAGAACAAACUGUUAAAUGCUGACCUCUGACUCAAAUCCAAAUUGACUAAAAAACAAACCUGAAUUAAGAAUCAAACCAGUUUUGUUUUAAAUACCUUGUGAACCAUUUAGAACCCAAAUGCUAUCUUUUAUCAUUUAUGUUUAAGAAUUAUGUAACAACACGGCAAAUGAUAAGUUUAGAGAAAGAAACAAGAUUAUAAGUGGUAUACACAGCAUAACUAUUUUUUUUAAUGAGGAAAAAAAAAAAGCCCCCCUAGAAGAACCCUACCUUCCCAAACAAAAAUUCUGCAUACCUAAUAAAAGACAAAAGACUGGAAGCAAAAAGCCCAAAAGUUAAAAGACUGUUUUUCAGACUGUGUGAUUUUUUUUUUGGUCUACAUUUCUGGAAUUCCAAAAAAUUUCCUUAAUAAAAAUUCCUUAUUUUAAAUCCUUUGAUACUUCAAUGUAUAUUUCCUAAGGAGAAGAGUAUUUUCUUACAUAACAACAUGCAGUUAUCAAAUAUGGGAAAUUCUGCAUGGAUACAAUACUUAUCUAUAGUCCAUGUUUCAAUUUCAAUUUCAAUUGCGUUAGUUGUCCUAGUGACAAAUAUUUUUAAGAUACCCUAGUAUCUGAGAAUUUCCCUUAUGUGUGUACUUUCUACUGUAAUGAUGCUGGAUAAAUUCAGAGCCCCUCUACAGAGAGCCCAAAGGAGCUCCAUUUGACCAUCCCCAGCUGUGGCUGUAGCUAACUAAGCUGGGCUGACCAGUCAAAACACCUACGGGUGCCACGUGCGCACGCGAAGGCCAGGAUGCUCGGUGCCUUGCAGAUUCAGUCUGAGUCGUUUGUUGUCUCUGAAAGCACGACAGGGGUUAGUGAGUCGUUAUCUUCUCAGUUGUACCAGCAACUGUUCUGUCCUUGCUUGAGUGAGGAAUGAUCUGCCUUUGCAUUAGCUUCAGGACCAAACAGACUUGACUUUGAGCCUUGGCUUUUCCCAUUAGUCGCUGUGAACUUGGGCAAGUGGUUAUUAACAGUGCCUAUCUCAUUACGUUUUUCUAAGGCUUAAAUGAGAUGAUGCAUGUGACACACUUAGCAACGUGCCUGGUGCAUAGUAACUGUUCAAUGUUACCCAAACCCACUGCCAGUGAGUUGAUUCUGACUCCUGGCGACCCUAUAGGACAGAGUAGAAGUGCCCCAUAGGUUUUCAACGGCUGUCAAUCUGCAGAAGCAGGCUGCCACAAAGCGGCUGGUGGGUUCAAACUGCUGACCCUUUGGUUGGCAGCUGAGUACUUAACCACUGUACCAUCCUAGGUCCUUGAGUGGUACAGACAAUUUUGUGCUUGACUACUAACUUAAAGGUUGGUGGUUCGAAUCCACCCAACAGCACCAAGGAAAAGGCCUGGCGAUCUGCUUCUUGAAAGAUUACAGCCAAGAAGACCCUAUGGAGUUCUACUCUACAACACAUAAGGUCACCGAGAGUUGGAAUCGACUUGAUGGGUCAAAGCCCAGACUGAGUGAUGAGGAAACUGGACAGAGCUGGUGCUCUCCUCUCUUCUCUCAUCCCUGCUUCCUUUGGUAGUUUUGCCUUCUCCACUUCUCUGUAUUUUAAAGGCAAAGCAAGCUGUCCCAGGCACCUCAUACUUGUCAGAAAUCCCACCAGGAGCAAAUGGUCCUUCACAGCCACUGUCCUUAACUCUAGCACCACCUCAUGGUCACCAGAAAAAAUGCAUCCUGGCCACCUCCAAAGGACCAAGGUUAUAGUGGAGGGAUCAGACCAACUCCCAUCAGAGUCCUUGCCAAAUACCAGGCUCUGUACUGUGCACUUCACGUGCAUCACUGCAUUUAAUCCUUACUGCAGUUCUUAGUAGGCAGUAUUACAUGUAAGGAAAUUGCAACUCAUAGGUUGAUUUGCCAAGGUCUCAAAAGAUUUUAUAACCUAGUUAGAUUUCAAAUCUCCCACUCACCACUGUGGACCCCUGAUGGUGCAGUGGUUAAAAGCUUGACUGCUAAUCAAAAGGCCACAGUUCAAACCCACCAGCCGCUCCUUAGAAAUCCUAUGGGGUGGUUCUACUCUGUCCUAUAGGGUUACCAUGAUUUGGAAUCGACUCGACUACAAUAUAUUUCUUUUUUUUUUUUUGGCUCACCACUAUACUACCCUGAUAGCUUUUCAGCUGGAAACUGAGGGAUAGGAAGAGACUUAGCUUAAGCUACAAGUCCAGGUAAUGAAUGGCAGAGCUGGAACCAGAGCUGUUAAAACUGUUUGUCCUGGCCCUUAACUGAGCCCCAGGAUGACAGUGCCAGUCAGUUUCAGGAAAGGACUCCUGGAGAUCACUAUACCUGAAACCGAGUUCAUGAGUUGAUUUUCAAAGGAAAACCUUGGGCGAGGUACCUCUAAGUUCCUCUGCUGUUCAGCCAUGUCCUCAGCAACUUUGCACCCAGUGCUGUCAGACCAACAAGCAACUGAGUCCUGCUUCACACUGAGUUUAAUGUGACACUUAGACACUCCUCUGCUGGCCAGUUCCUAUGUCCCUGGAGGCGAAGUCUCCAUCAGGGUGGGGACUUGGCAGGUGGGAGUGCCAGCUGGCACUCACUCAAACUGGCAACAAGAGAGAAGCUGGCAUGAGUCUUAAAUUUCACCUUGGCGCUCAGCCCUGAAUCCACUGUGCCUGUCUGGGAGCAUCAUGGCAUGGGAACCAGAGCCAGAGAACAAAAGAUGGCAAGCGCUGCAGGCCCAGACUGGCAACCACCACAGCCCACACAUCCGGCACCACUGUUCUACCUUCCAACAACUUUUGACUUCAGGAACAGCACCUAGCAUUGCAUUAGAAGGAAAAAAACCCCUACCUCUGCCACGCACAGGCACGUCCCAGAGAGUGAUUGGGUUUCAUCAGGGCUAUCAUCUAGAGCAAAGGAGAAAAGGUACGAAAAUAUGCUGAAAAAGCAGUGAUGGGAUUGCCGUUAUUGGCCAAUUUCA